UAGGGAAUCUUCCGCAAUGGGCGAAAGCUUGACGGAGCAACGCCGCGUGAGUGAUGAAGGUCUUCGGAUCGUAAAACUCUGUUAUUAGGGAAGAACAAAUGUGUAAGUAACUAUGCACGUCUUGACGGUACCUAAUCAGAAAGCCACGGCUAACUACGUGCCAGCAGCCGCGGUAAUACGUAGGUGGCAAGCGUUAUCCGGAAUUAUUGGGCGUAAAGCGCGCGUAGGCGGUUUUUUAAGUCUGAUGUGAAAGCCCACGGCUCAACCGUGGAGGGUCAUUGGAAACUGGAAAACUUGAGUGCAGAAGAGGAAAGUGGAAUUCCAUGUGUAGCGGUGAAAUGCGCAGAGAUAUGGAGGAACACCAGUGGCGAAGGCGACUUUCUGGUCUGUAACUGACGCUGAUGUGUGAAAGCGUGGGGAUCAAACAGG
RNAcentral lists this ribosomal RNA (429 nucleotides) under Actinomycetes bacterium. RNAcentral describes it as "Actinobacteria bacterium partial 16S ribosomal RNA". It matches the Rfam family "Bacterial small subunit ribosomal RNA", at positions 355 to 776 of the family's 1533-position model. Lineage: Bacteria; Bacillati; Actinomycetota; Actinomycetes. The record is from RNAcentral.